UUGAGAUAGUCACCAAGAGAAGCAGAAGCAGGAGAGGGGCAGGAGAGAGAAGGGGAGAAAAGAAUGCUAUAGAAGCCCAGAGUGAAGACUUGCUGGGGACUUGGAGGCCUCCUGGCCUCCUGGCCCCCAGGGACCCUUGCCUGCCGUGUACCUGUUUGCCACACUACAUGUAAAGCUCAAUAAAAGCCUGAGAAAGCCACCAAGGGCUCCAGGACUCUACCCCGGCCUGCUCAGAUCCUAGAUAUCCUGCUCUGCGGCCUUCCUGCCACUACAAUUGGCAUAAGUCGGCAAGAUAAUUCAAAGCAGACGGGUAUGGAACCCUUCAAAGACCUCAGGCGGGACUGAGGAGGAGCAGCCUUCGUUUGCCUGUGACAACGCUGGACGUGCCAUGGCAGCACAGAUGGUGAACAGAGUCCAGGAGCUGUGGAAAGAGCUAAAGAUGCUGCAGGAGCACAGGAGGUGGACAAGGUUUGGGAGCUGCGGGACGAGACCUCAAGUGGAGGAGGAGACAGCCUCCGAGGACCAGCCCAUGACCCCUGAGGCAGCAGAAUUGUAGGGGAAGAAAGGAGCACGAUUCAGACCUCGCCCAGUGCUGAGGCAGGAAAAGACUGAUGGACUUGGACUGACAAUCCCACCAGAAGGCAGAGGAACUUUGGCAGGGUGUAGAAUUUCCUUCACAGAAUUUCCUUCACCAGUGCACCCAUGCACCAUCAUAAGAUGAUGGACUGACAAGCACAAAAUUUACCUUCUAUAUUAGUGUCUUAUUGCUGGCCAUAAAACUCGAUGUGCCUGGGUUGGGAUGAAGACUUGAUCUCAAAACCACGUCUUUUUUUCUGAAGAUCUAUCUAAAUAGAAAACUCAAGUGGGGGAACUAUAACAUUUGAAAUGCUCCAUGACAAAAUACAAUGGCUAGGAUCUUAGGUAUCAAGAUAUAAAUGACUCUUACUGCCCAACUAGGUAGAGAUUGGAAAUUUUUAUUCAGAGUGUUGAUAAAAAUGAUUCUGCUUCAUGUUGACAUUUUACCUGCAAAUUCCAUGAGAAUUGAGAUGAUUUCUUCUUACUUUAGAGUCACCUAGUUAGAGCAGAGUGUGACUUACUUUUUGUUUGUUAAUGUCGGGAUAAAAUGUUUCAUACUACAUCUCUGUUCUCUAGUUUUAUUAAUCUGAGUGUGCAAUGGGGUGAUGCAGUAGGGAGGUCUUCAUUAACCAGAUUUAUUUUCUUAAUUUUAGCUUUAAAUCAUCUUAGGAGACCCAAUU
Talpa occidentalis (Iberian mole) is the source of this 1256-nucleotide long non-coding RNA. RefSeq lists it as uncharacterized. The record is from RefSeq and is a predicted model, not a curated record. Lineage: Eukaryota; Metazoa; Chordata; Mammalia; Eulipotyphla; Talpidae. The transcript is spliced from 3 exons.